Molecule: unclassified non-coding RNA, 670 nt
Filed under: Hevea brasiliensis (rubber tree)
Lineage: Eukaryota; Viridiplantae; Streptophyta; Magnoliopsida; Malpighiales; Euphorbiaceae
Source: RNAcentral
UGUUAGGGCAAGAAGUUGAACUUUUGAAUUCUUACUUCCAAUGCGCUUCUUUACACCUUUAACAACAUCUUUUGCUUGUCUGCCAGCCCAAAACCAAGCCAAAAAGUCCAAGUUUAGGAAACUGAACAAGUUUUGGAGUUGCACAAUGAUAAAAUAUCAUUUUCACAGAGCAAAAUAUAACUAGCUAAGGUAGAUAUUGUGCCAGCUUGAUGAGCUAGAUAGAUUGGACAAAGAGAAGGCGCUUUCUUAGGAUUAGUUGAAUCUGAAAACAUAAUUGAAUAAUGAAUUUGAUAAAGUUAUCUUAGGAAAGAAUAUGAAGGGAUUGUAAGACUGAAUUGCUUCAUACAGUGAAAGGAAGAGCUUUACUAAAAAACUAAUGGCAUUGAAGGGUGACAUCAUUAAGGAUUCUAGUUUUAGUACAAAAGAGACAAGUCAUCUUUAAAUGGAUCUAAAUAAAAUCCAUAGAAGGUUCAUACCAGUGCACUAUCACUCAUGAAAAGGCACUUCAGUUUAAAAGCCUUUUGAGAAGGAGGUGAUGAACAGAGUCCUUAAGAUAGAGAGAAGAUAAAGUAGACCUGACCAUUCAUGUCUAACAGCGUCUACAUGGGUUCAUGUCACUCUAACAUGAAGAAGAUAAGACUCAACCUGAGCAGGGUCGUGAUUGCACAUG